Molecule: ribosomal RNA, 429 nt
Filed under: Bacillota bacterium
Lineage: Bacteria; Bacillati; Bacillota
Description: Firmicutes bacterium partial 16S ribosomal RNA
Rfam family: Bacterial small subunit ribosomal RNA
Source: RNAcentral
UAGGGAAUCUUCGGCAAUGGACGGAAGUCUGACCGAGCAACGCCGCGUGAGUGAAGAAGGUUUUCGGAUCGUAAAGCUCUGUUGUUAGAGAAGAACGUUGGUAGGAGUGGAAAAUCUACCAAGUGACGGUAACUAACCAGAAAGGGACGGCUAACUACGUGCCAGCAGCCGCGGUAAUACGUAGGUCCCGAGCGUUGUCCGGAUUUAUUGGGCGUAAAGCGAGCGCAGGCGGUUCGUUAAGUCUGAAGUUAAAGGCAGUGGCUUAACCAUUGUACACUUUGGAAACUGGAGGACUUGAGUGCAGAAGGGGAGAGUGGAAUUCCAUGUGUGGCGGUGAAAUGCGUAGAUAUAUGGAGGAACACCGGUGGCGAAAGCGGCUCUCUGGUCUGUAACUGACGCUGAGGCUCGAAAGCGUGGGGAGCAAACAGG